AGCGAAGCACUUAAGUUUGAUUCUUCGGAUGAAGACUUUUGUGACUGAGUGGCGGACGGGUGAGUAACGCGUGGGUAACCUGCCUCAUACAGGGGGAUAACACACCGAAAGGUGUACUAAUACCGCAUAAGACCACGGGAUCACAUGAUUCUGGGGUAAAAGAAUUAUCGGUUUGGGGUGGGCUCGCGUCCGAUUAGGUAGUUGGUGAGGUAACGGCCCACCAAGCCGACGAUCGGUAGCCGACCUGAGAGGUUGAACGGCCACAUUGGGACUGAGACACGGCCCAGACUCC
This 292-nucleotide ribosomal RNA is filed under the name uncultured Clostridia bacterium. RNAcentral describes it as "partial 16S ribosomal RNA". It matches the Rfam family "Bacterial small subunit ribosomal RNA", at positions 51 to 339 of the family's 1533-position model. The record is from RNAcentral. Lineage: Bacteria; Bacillati; Bacillota; Clostridia.